Molecule: ribosomal RNA, 257 nt
Filed under: uncultured bacterium
Lineage: Bacteria
Description: partial 16S ribosomal RNA
Rfam family: Bacterial small subunit ribosomal RNA
Source: RNAcentral
UACGGAGGGUGCAAGCGUUUAUCCGGAUUUACUGGGUUUAAAGGGUGCGCAGGCGGAUAUGUAAGUCAGUGGUGAAAUCUCUGGGCUUAACCCGGAAAUUGCCAUUGAUACUAUAUAUCUUGAAUGCUGUGGAGGUAAGCGGAAUAUGUCAUGUAGCGGUGAAAUGCUUAGAUAUGACAUAGAACACCUAUUGCGAAGGCAGCUUACUACGCAGAUAUUGACGCUCAUGCACGAAAGCGUGGGGAUCAAACAGGAUU